RNAcentral lists this ribosomal RNA (459 nucleotides) under uncultured bacterium. RNAcentral's name for it is "partial 16S ribosomal RNA". It matches the Rfam family "Bacterial small subunit ribosomal RNA", at positions 338 to 795 of the family's 1533-position model. The record is from RNAcentral.
CCUACGGGUGGCAGCAGUGAGGAAUAUUGGUCAAUGGACGAGAGUCUGAACCAGCCAAGUAGCGUGAAGGAUGACUGCCCUAUGGGUUGUAAACUUCUUUUAUAUGGGAAUAAAACAGGGUAUGCAUACCCUCUUGUAUGUACCAUAUGAAUAAGGAUCGGCUAACUCCGUGCCAGCAGCCGCGGUAAUACGGAGGAUCCGAGCGUUAUCCGGAUUUAUUGGGUUUAAAGGGUGCGUAGGCGGAGUGUCAAGUCAGCGGUAAAAUUUCGGGGCUCAACCCCGUCGUGCCGUUGAAACUGACGCCCUUGAGUGAGUGAGAAGUAAGCGGAAUGCGUGGUGUAGCGGUGAAAUGCAUAGAUAUCACGCAGAACGCCGAUUGCGAAGGCAGCUUACCGGCGCUCAACUGACGCUGAGGCACGAAAGUGCGGGUAUCGAACAGGAUUAGAUACCCUAGUAGUC